RNAcentral lists this ribosomal RNA (1465 nucleotides) under Salmonella enterica subsp. enterica serovar Potsdam. RNAcentral describes it as "bacterial SSU rRNA". It matches the Rfam family "Bacterial small subunit ribosomal RNA". The record is from RNAcentral. Lineage: Bacteria; Pseudomonadati; Pseudomonadota; Gammaproteobacteria; Enterobacterales; Enterobacteriaceae.
CGGUAACAGGAAGCAGCUUGCUGCUUUGCUGACGAGUGGCGGACGGGUGAGUAAUGUCUGGGAAACUGCCUGAUGGAGGGGGAUAACUACUGGAAACGGUGGCUAAUACCGCAUAACGUCGCAAGACCAAAGAGGGGGACCUUCGGGCCUCUUGCCAUCAGAUGUGCCCAGAUGGGAUUAGCUUGUUGGUGAGGUAACGGCUCACCAAGGCGACGAUCCCUAGCUGGUCUGAGAGGAUGACCAGCCACACUGGAACUGAGACACGGUCCAGACUCCUACGGGAGGCAGCAGUGGGGAAUAUUGCACAAUGGGCGCAAGCCUGAUGCAGCCAUGCCGCGUGUAUGAAGAAGGCCUUCGGGUUGUAAAGUACUUUCAGCGGGGAGGAAGGUGUUGUGGUUAAUAACCGCAGCAAUUGACGUUACCCGCAGAAGAAGCACCGGCUAACUCCGUGCCAGCAGCCGCGGUAAUACGGAGGGUGCAAGCGUUAAUCGGAAUUACUGGGCGUAAAGCGCACGCAGGCGGUCUGUCAAGUCGGAUGUGAAAUCCCCGGGCUCAACCUGGGAACUGCAUUCGAAACUGGCAGGCUUGAGUCUUGUAGAGGGGGGUAGAAUUCCAGGUGUAGCGGUGAAAUGCGUAGAGAUCUGGAGGAAUACCGGUGGCGAAGGCGGCCCCCUGGACAAAGACUGACGCUCAGGUGCGAAAGCGUGGGGAGCAAACAGGAUUAGAUACCCUGGUAGUCCACGCCGUAAACGAUGUCUACUUGGAGGUUGUGCCCUUGAGGCGUGGCUUCCGGAGCUAACGCGUUAAGUAGACCGCCUGGGGAGUACGGCCGCAAGGUUAAAACUCAAAUGAAUUGACGGGGGCCCGCACAAGCGGUGGAGCAUGUGGUUUAAUUCGAUGCAACGCGAAGAACCUUACCUGGUCUUGACAUCCACAGAACUUUCCAGAGAUGGAUUGGUGCCUUCGGGAACUGUGAGACAGGUGCUGCAUGGCUGUCGUCAGCUCGUGUUGUGAAAUGUUGGGUUAAGUCCCGCAACGAGCGCAACCCUUAUCCUUUGUUGCCAGCGGUUAGGCCGGGAACUCAAAGGAGACUGCCAGUGAUAAACUGGAGGAAGGUGGGGAUGACGUCAAGUCAUCAUGGCCCUUACGACCAGGGCUACACACGUGCUACAAUGGCGCAUACAAAGAGAAGCGACCUCGCGAGAGCAAGCGGACCUCAUAAAGUGCGUCGUAGUCCGGAUUGGAGUCUGCAACUCGACUCCAUGAAGUCGGAAUCGCUAGUAAUCGUGGAUCAGAAUGCCACGGUGAAUACGUUCCCGGGCCUUGUACACACCGCCCGUCACACCAUGGGAGUGGGUUGCAAAAGAAGUAGGUAGCUUAACCUUCGGGAGGGCGCUUACCACUUUGUGAUUCAUGACUGGGGUGAAGUCGUAACAAGGUAACCGUAGGGGAACCUGCGGUUGGA